GAUGAACGCUGGCGGCGUGCCUAAUACAUGCAAGUCGAGCGAACGGACGAGAAGCUUGCUUCUCUGAUGUUAGCGGCGGACGGGUGAGUAACACGUGGAUAACCUACCUAUAAGACUGGGAUAACUUCGGGAAACCGGAGCUAAUACCGGAUAAUAUUUUGAACCGCAUGGUUCAAAAGUGAAAGACGGUCUUGCUGUCACUUAUAGAUGGAUCCGCGCUGCAUUAGCUAGUUGGUAAGGUAACGGCUUACCAAGGCAACGAUGCAUAGCCGACCUGAGAGGGUGAUCGGCCACACUGGAACUGAGACACGGUCAAGACUCCUACGGGAGGAAGCAGUAGGGAAUCUUCCGCAAUGGGCGAAAGCCUGACGGAGCAACGACGCGUGAGUGAUGAAGGUCUUCGGAUCGUAAAACUCUGUUAUUAGGGAAGAACAUAUGUGUAAGUAACUGUGCACAUCUUGACGGUACCUAAUCAGAAAGCCACGGCUAACUACGUG
Molecule: ribosomal RNA, 497 nt
Filed under: uncultured bacterium
Lineage: Bacteria
Description: partial 16S ribosomal RNA
Rfam family: Bacterial small subunit ribosomal RNA
Source: RNAcentral